GGGCGCAAKYCUGAUGCAGCCAUGCCGCGUGUAUGAAGAAGGCCUUCGGGUUGUAAAGUACUUUCAGCGGGGAGGAAGGGAGUAAAGUUAAUACCUUUGCUCAUUGACGUUACCCGCAGAAGAAGCACCGGCUAACUCCGUGCCAGCAGCCGCGGUAAUACGGAGGGUGCAAGCGUUAAUCGGAAUUACUGGGCGUAAAGCGCACGCAGGCGGUUUGUUAAGUCAGAUGUGAAAUCCCCGGGCUCAACCUGGGAACUGCAUCUGAUACUGGCAAGCUUGAGUCUCGUAGAGGGGGGUAGAAUUCCAGGUGUAGCGGUGAAAUGCGUAGAGAUCUGGAGGAAUACC
This 345-nucleotide ribosomal RNA is filed under the name uncultured bacterium. RNAcentral's name for it is "bacterial SSU rRNA". It matches the Rfam family "Bacterial small subunit ribosomal RNA", at positions 373 to 710 of the family's 1533-position model. The record is from RNAcentral.